UGUCCCACACUAUAUGACCUAUUAUUUACACAUAUAACAUAUAACUAACUAACUAAUUAACUACUUACGCGCAAUAAACUCAACUAACGUUAAAGGCGUAAUGUACUAUACUAACACGACUAACUAUAUAGCAGGAAGGAUGGGGGAGGUUAGACAUAUAUUUUAAAUACUAAUUAUGAAUUAACUAACAUACAGGUUAAUGAAAAGUGUAAUUAUUGACGAGGUAAUUUAACCCAUAAUUACUUUUAUUUUAGUCCAAAUCUUCUAGCUUCUCUUUUAUUCUAUUUUAAACUGUUCAGCUAUUAACUGAUCUGAUAUGAUAAUUUUGGUUACAACUAGAGGGAACCGACUAACGUUGGGUCACACUUUAAUAGGGGGGUAAGGCCCAGUGCAUAAUUUCAUCGACGGAGGUCAAUUUAAAAACAAUCCUAGCUACCAUAGGUGGCUUUUUUGUAAGAUAUCGCUUUUUUGAUAACUUACACUCACUUUUUUUGUUUAUUCACAAUUAUGUGUUGUAUGACAACAAUUUUUAUGUACACUUUAUGUUAUGUUUUUCUCUUUCCCUUAAUUAUGUUUAAUAGUGUCAGGAGAUGUAAAGCUACUGCAGAAAUUAUGAAGGACAACUCUGGAAUCGGGAUCCCGAGGUAUUUUAACACGUUUUUCGGAGCGGAGCGCCUCUUAAUGGUGCGCCUCUUAAUGCUCCAUGGCGCCAAAUGAAGCAUUUGUGGAAGGAGAUGGACAGACGAUGUUUCAGGCAGGACCCUUCUUCGGACUGAGUCGAGAAGAGAUAGAGGACAGAAAGAGAUGCUGGUUUAAACCGAAGAUUCUCCCGACUCUCAGUCUGAAGAAGGGUCUCGACCCGAAAAGUCACCUAUUCCUUUUAUCCAGAGAUGCUGUCUGACUCGUUGAGCUACUCCAGCUAUAUUUGGUUUGCAGUGCAAACUGUGAAAUGUUGCCAAUGCCUCUAACUCAUGUCUGGAAAGAACUAAAGAGAAGUGUGCAAUGACACAGUCACCUCAGCAACCAAUAUUACUGCAGCCCUCGUCUACUCUGAGGUCGUUGUUAGAGCUCAUAGCAGAGUUCAGUGAUGAAGUGGAGACAUCUUUCAUUUUGUUGCUCAUUAAACGCAGGAUAGGAAAAUCUAUGAACGACCUGCAAGAUGUGCUCUCCUGCGAGGUAACCCCUAGCCCUCUGCCUCUUGCUCCUCUUGACAGCUUAUCUAACUCUGUGUGAACAUAAAACAUAGAACAGUACAGCAGAGGAACAUGCCCUUUGACACCCAAUGUCUGUGCCGAACAUGAUGCUAAAUUAAACAAAUCCCUUCUGCUGCAUGUGAUCCAUAUAACUAUAUUUUUUUGCAUAUUCCUGUCCCUUUCUAAAAGCAUUUUAAAUGUGUAUGGUCCCUGACAAAUCUCCCAGUUAUGCUAAUCUAACAGUGUAGUCUCUGAUCAAUCUCCAAGUUAUGCUAUAUUCCAAGAAAUGCCUUCAUAUGAUUUCAUAAUAACAGCGUUGUGUGGAGAACUUGUAGGGAUUUGCAUGUUUUUGAAUGAAUGAAUGAAUCGGUUUAUUGGCCAAGUAUUCACAUACAAGGAAUUUGCUUUGGUGCUCCGGCCGCAAGUGACAACAUGACAUACAGUGACAGUUAGGAAUGAUACAUAAAACAAUAACAAUAAAACAUUAUUGAUUAAUUUUCAGUGACUGCCAUGUCAAUCCCAGGCCACAUUAACAUUUGAAACAUAGAAGAAUGGAAGAUACUCGACAUUUGCAAAAUCGUAGAGUUAAAAUAAAUUGAUUCAUGCUUAAGUAAUUGACAACAUUUUUAAAAGGUAUUUGAGGGAUGGGGGUAUAAAGGUCCUUCCUCUGGCACAACAUGUGCACGGUUAAUAGAAUGCACAAGCUUGAGGGCACUGAGCUCCAAAAUGCCAGUGAUGCAUGUACUGGAUAUGCUUGUUCAUCAAACAGCAUUUUAAUCCUGCAAAAGCAGCCAGUGGUAUACCAACUAUUGAUCUGUCAAUCUCAACUUCAUGCGCUUUGUACCUAAAGCACCAGGGCCAAUCAGUUUUAAUUCAAGCACUCAUUAUGCUCCCACCUGAUUUUCAUUUCUGUUGCUUCCAAUUGAAAUUAAAAUUGAAAGAUGUACAGUACAUUCAGAAAGAAUUCAGACUCCUUCACUUGUUCCACAUUUUGUUGUGUUACAGCCUUAUUCUAAAUUGGAAUAAAUUUUUUUUUUAUCAUCAAUCUACACACAAUAUCCCAUAAUAAAGCGAAAACAGGUGUUUAGACAUUUUUGCAAAGUAAUUAAAAAGAAAUAACUGAAAUAUCACAUUUACAUAAGUAUUCAGACCCUUUACUCAGUACUUUGUAGAGGCACCUUUGGCGGCGAUUACAGCCUUAUGUCUUCUUGGCAUACCUGUAUUUGGGUAAUUUCUCCCAUUCUUCUCUGCAGAUCCUCUCAAGCUCUGUCAGGUUGGAUGGGGAGCGUUGAUGCACAGCUAUUUUCAGGUUCCUCCAGAGAUGUUCGAUCGGGUUCAAGUCCGGGCUCUGGCUGGGCCACUCAAGGACAUUCACAGUCUUGUCACAAAGCCACUCCUGCGUUGUCUUGGCUCUGCGCUUAGGGUUGUUGUCCUGUUGGAAGGUGCGAGGACCUGAACACUCUGGAGCAGGUUUUCAUCAAGGAUCUCUCUGUACUUUGCUCCGCUCAUCUUUCCCUUGAUCCUGACUAGUCUCCCAGUUCCUGCCGCUGAAAAACAUCUCCACAUAAUGAUGCUGCCACCACCAUGCUUCACCGUAUGUAAAAUUAGAUCUAACUUCAUUUAUGGAAGUCGAAUGUUAAUAAUUCAAGAUACCUUUGGACCGUAUGUAUUGGAACCAGAAUAAUCACAAUUGUUUAUCAGUUUGUCAUUUGAUGACUAUUGAAGAGAUCUACAAUUUACAAAAGCUAUAGAAAUUUUGAUCAAAGGGGAAUUUUAAAAGAAGAGAGCAAUAUGAAUAGACCUAUUUUUUUUUAAUUCAGUCGCGCUAGUGCACAAUAAACCACAUGCUACGAAAUCAACUUUUAACAAUACAAAGUAGCUUGUGAUCCUAUGGGUGGAAAUUGGGGGUAGAUCAAUCUUACACAGGCUCCAUCCCAAUCACACCUACAAAAUCUUCAAAUUAAUAGGAAGGAUGAAGGAACUGAUGUUACAGCUCUCCCCCAAGCCAACAUUCAUAGAGCAGCAAAACUCUGAAUCUCUGAAAAUCCUCAGUCCUAUUUUUCAGGAAUCCUGAUAUUUCAGCAUUAGGCUCACCUUAUUCUAUUUCCCAAGCAAAUCAAGCCCCACAUUCCUUAUCUCCACAGUCCUUUUAAAUUCUCUGGGGCCUUGUUCCCCACAUCCCCAUUAAACUCACCUGGUUUUCUCUCCCGUGAUCCCUUUAAACUCAUGGUUCACAGAAAGCUACAUAGACCAGCGACACAAUUCCUCGCGAAUUGGGACGUCCACGUACGACCACACCUACGACAGCCUACUACCACACAGGCGACAACCUACGACAACCGAAGUCAAUUUAUGUUCACCCGCGACAAGAUACGACAAGCUAAGACCCUGUCGGCGACAACUGAAGACGUCAAAUUCUGUGAUUAGCCAGAGAGUGAGAAUUGUGUGAAAUGUUUGAGUCUCACGCUCAAUGCGUGAGAGUAGACAGCGCUGUUUACGAGCAGUUAGAGACUGAGAACUGAGACUGAGAAUAAGGACAAGUGCAAAUUGCAUGUCAGACAUGGCAUGUCCAGCAGUCUCAGACAAAAAGGGGGAAAAAACAAUAUUAAGUCCAGAAGGCUGCAGUGUGCCCAAAUAGAAGACGAUGCGCAGACCCUGAAGCUCGCUUUGCCUGUUUCUAUUCUUUUUGCCUGUUUCUAUUCUCUUGCAGUUUGUCUGCAUAUUCUUUGGAACCUAAGUUGCCAUCUGACUUUGUGACAUUAUGAUUUAGAGAAUGAAUUAAAUGCCAAAUCAUAUAUGACAACAAAAGAGCUUAUUGUUUCACCAUGAAUUCAUUUCCACUUCCAGGGCAGGAACUGAAUGCGAAAAUCCAAUGAGGUUGAAUGGCAUUCCAGAUGACAAUAUGAUAUCUUUGUUAAGCUAAUGAUGAAAUAACACUGAC
This is a long non-coding RNA of Leucoraja erinaceus (little skate), 4134 nucleotides long. RefSeq lists it as uncharacterized. NCBI's taxonomy places the organism in Eukaryota, Metazoa, Chordata, Chondrichthyes, Rajiformes, Rajidae. The transcript has 3 exons. The record is from RefSeq and is a predicted model, not a curated record.